RNAcentral lists this long non-coding RNA (326 nucleotides) under Gossypium raimondii (Peruvian cotton). RNAcentral's name for it is "long non-coding RNA (GRAI_LNC008647)". The record is from RNAcentral. Lineage: Eukaryota; Viridiplantae; Streptophyta; Magnoliopsida; Malvales; Malvaceae.
AUCUCCUUAAAAAUCCUUGAUAGAAUCUCAAAACAAAAACAACAAAACCCAAAAAAGGGUUGAACUACGAACAAUCAAAAGAGAAAAAAAAAUGAACCCAGAAAUCACCUUUUUUGGUGCUUUUUGAUUUUUGUAUUCUGAUUACGUAUAUUUUUUUACAGCAUGGUCUUGGUCCUUUUUAUAGCGUUUAUUUACAGAGUAGAAUAAAAUAAAAAUAAAAUCCAAACAAAUCGCCCCUGCUCUGUCAUCCUUACUUUUUUUCUCUCUGCCCCUUUUGUUUGGUGUCUGUUUCUGCUGCUUUUUUGUGCGUCUCUUUUAGGUACGGA